Molecule: ribosomal RNA, 484 nt
Filed under: uncultured bacterium
Lineage: Bacteria
Description: partial 16S ribosomal RNA
Rfam family: Bacterial small subunit ribosomal RNA
Source: RNAcentral
AUUGAACGCUGGCGGCAGGCCUAACACAUGCAAGUCGAGCGGAUGAAGGGAGCUUGCUCCUGGAUUCAGUGGCGGACGGGCGAGUAAUGCCUAGGAAUCUGCCUGGUAGUGGGGGAUAACGUCCGGAAACGGGCGCUAAUAUCGCAUACGUCCUGAGGGAGAAAGUGGGGGAUCUUCGGACCUCACGCUACUUGAUGAGCCUAGGUCGGAUUAGCUAGUUGGUGGGGUAAAGGCCUACCAAGGCGACGAUCCGUAACUGAUCUGAGAGGAUGAUCAGUCACACUGGAACUGAGACACGGUCCAGACUCCUACGGGAGGCAGCAGUGGGGAAUAUUCGGCAAUGGGCGAAAGCCUGAUCCAGCCAUGCCGCGUGUGUGAAGAAGGUCUUCGGAUUGUAAAGCUCUUUAAGUUGGGAGGAAGAGCAGUGAGUUUAUACCUUGCUGUUUUGACGUUACCAACAGAAUAAGCCCCGGCUAACUUCGUG